ACGCAUCGCAAGAUGAGUGGCAGACGGGUGAGUAACGCGUGGGAAUCUACCCAACCCUACGGAACAACUCCGGGAAACUGGAGCUAAUACCGUAUACGCCCUAUGGGGGAAAGAUUUAUCGGGGAUGGAUGAGCCCGCGUUGGAUUAGCUAGUUGGUGGGGUAAAGGCCUACCAAGGCGACGAUCCAUAGCUGGUCUGAGAGGAUGAUCAGCCACAUUGGGACUGAGACACGGCCCAAACUCCUACGGGAGGCAGCAGUGGGGAAUAUUGGACAAUGGGCGCAAGCCUGAUCCAGCCAUGCCGCGUGAGUGACGAAGGUCUUAGGAUUGUAAAGCUCUUUCACCGAUGAAGAUAAUGACGGUAGUCGGAGAAGAAGCCCCGGCUAACUUCGUGCCAGCAGCCGCGGUAAUACGAAGGGGGCUAGCGUUGUUCGGAAUUACUGGGCGUAAAGCGCAUGUAGGCGGAUAUUUAAGUCAGGGGUGAAAUCCCGCAGCUCAACUGCGGAACUGCCUUUGAUACUGGGUAUCUUGAGUAUGGAAGAGGUAAGUGGAAUUCCGGGUGUAGAGGUGAAAUUCGUAGAUAUUCGGAGGAACACCAGUGGCGAAGGCGGCUUACUGGUCCAUUACUGACGCUGAGGUGCGAAAGCGUGGGGAGCAAACAGGCUUAGAUACCCUGGUAGUCCACGCCGUAACGAUGAAUGUUAGCCGUCAGCAGUUGACUGUUCGUGGCGCACUACGCAUUAAACAUUCCGCCUGGGG
This 758-nucleotide ribosomal RNA is filed under the name uncultured bacterium. RNAcentral describes it as "bacterial SSU rRNA". It matches the Rfam family "Bacterial small subunit ribosomal RNA", at positions 66 to 878 of the family's 1533-position model. The record is from RNAcentral.